GAACGAACGCUGGCGGCAUGCCUAACACAUGCAAGUCGAACGCCCUCUUUUAGAGGGAGUGGCGCACGGGUGCGUAACGCGUGGGAACCUGCCCUUAGGUUCGGAAUAACUCAGAGAAAUUUGAGCUAAUACCGGAUAAUGUCUUCGGACCAAAGAUUUAUCGCCUUUGGAUGGGCCCGCGUAGGAUUAGAUAGUUGGUGGGGUAAUGGCCUACCAAGUCGACGAUCCUUAGCUGGUCUGAGAGGAUGAUCAGCCACACUGGGACUGAGACACGGCCCAGACUCCUACGGGAGGCAGCAGUGGGGAAUAUUGGACAAUGGGCGAAAGCCUGAUCCAGCAAUGCCGCGUGAGUGAUGAAGGCCUUAGGGUUGUAAAGCUCUUUUACCAGGGAUGAUAAUGACAGUACCUGGAGAAUAAGCUCCGGCUAACUCCGUGCCAGCAGCCGCGGUAAUACGGAGGGAGCUAGCGUUGUUCGGAAUUACUGGGCGUAAAGCGCACGUAGGCGGCUUUUCAAGUCAGGGGUGAAAUCCCGGGGCUCAACCCCGGAACUGCCCUUGAAACUGGAUGGCUAGAAUACUGGAGAGGUGAGUGGAAUUCCGAGUGUAGAGGUGAAAUUCGUAGAUAUUCGGAAGAACACCAGUGGCGAAGGCGACUCACUGG
Molecule: ribosomal RNA, 660 nt
Filed under: Qipengyuania flava
Lineage: Bacteria; Pseudomonadati; Pseudomonadota; Alphaproteobacteria; Sphingomonadales; Erythrobacteraceae
Description: bacterial SSU rRNA
Rfam family: Bacterial small subunit ribosomal RNA
Source: RNAcentral